RNAcentral lists this ribosomal RNA (2450 nucleotides) under metagenome. Its description in RNAcentral is "bacterial LSU rRNA". It matches the Rfam family "Bacterial large subunit ribosomal RNA", at positions 3 to 2270 of the family's 2925-position model. The record is from RNAcentral.
UCAAGUUUCUAAGAGCAAACGGUGGAUGCCUUGGCAUCUGGAGCCGAAGAAGGACGUAGCAAUCUGCGAUAAGCCUCGGGGAGCUGAUAAGCGAGCUUUGAUCCGAGGAUGUCCGAAUGGGGAAACCCCGCUGGGAGCUUCGUGCUACCCAGUGACUCCCGCCUGAAUAUAUAGGGCGGGUAGAGGGAACGUGGGGAAGUGAAACAUCUCAGUACCCACAGGAAGAGAAAACAACAGUGAUUCCGGUAGUAGUGGCGAGCGAAACCGGAACAGGCUAAACCGAUCAUGUGUGAUAGCCGGCAGGCGUUGCAUGGUCGGGGUUGUGGGACUCUUACGGUUUUCUGCCGAAAACCACGUAGAUAGUUGUUGUAUAGACGAAUGGUCUUGAAAGGCCAGCCGCAGAGGGUGCCAGCCCCGUAGUCGAAAUGCAGCACUAAUGCGAAGAGGAUCCCAAGUAUCACGGGGCCCGAGAAAUCCCGUGUGAAUCCGCCAGGACCACCUGGUAAGCCUAAAUACUCCCAGAUGACCGAUAGCGGACAAGUACCGUGAGGGAAAGGUGAAAAGUACCCCGGGAGGGGAGUGAAAUAGAACCUGAAACCGUUUGCUUACAAUCCGUUGGAGCCUCCUUGUAGGGGUGACAGCGUGCCUUUUGAAGAAUGAGCCUGCGAGUUAGCGAUAUGUGGCGAGGUUAACCCGUGAGGGGUAGCCGUAGCGAAAGCGAGUCUGAAUAGGGCGAUUCAGUCGCAUGUCCUAGACCCGAAGCGAAGUGAUCUAUCCAUGGCCAGGUUGAAGCGACGGUAAGACGUCGUGGAGGACCGAACCCACUUGGGUUGAAAACCGAGGGGAUGAGCUGUGGAUAGGGGUGAAAGGCCAAUCAAACUUCGUGAUAGCUGGUUCUCUCCGAAAUGCAUUUAGGUGCAGCGUUGCGUGUUUCUUACCGGAGGUAGAGCUACUGGAUGGCCAAUGGGCCUAAAAGGUUACUGACGUCAGCCAAACUCCGAAUGCCGGUAAGUAAGAGCGCAGCAGUGAGACGGUGGGGGAUAAGCUUCAUCGUCGAGAGGGAAACAACCCAGACUACCGACUAAGGUCCCAAAGCGUGUGCUAAGUGGAAAAGGAUGUGGAGUUGCAUAGACAACCAGGAGGUUGGCUUAGAAGCAGCCACCCUUGAAAGAGUGCGUAAUAGCUCACUGGUCAAGUGAUUCCGCGCCGACAAUUUAACGGGGCUCAAGCACACCACCGAAGUCGUAGCAUUCAAACUAUAGGCAGGCCUUCGUGGUCCAGCCGUGUGAAUGGGUAGGAGAGCGUCGUGUGGCGAGUGAAGCGGCGGAGUGAUCCAGCCGUGGACGCCACACGAGUGAGAAUGCAGGCAUGAGUAGCGAAAGACGGGUGAGAAACCCGUCCUCCGGAAGACCAAGGGUUCCAGGGCCAGGCUAAUCCGCCCUGGGUAAGUCGGGACCUAAGACGAGGCCGACAGGCGUAGUCGAUGGACAACGGGUUGAUAUUCCCGUACCCGCGAAGAACCGCAAGAGCUAAACCAGUAAUGCUAAGAGUCCGAAUUCUCUUUCUGAUCCCUUCGGGGUGAGGAUUGAGAGCUAGCACUCGACCCUAUGCUGGCGCGGCUAGCGUAUUAACAGGUGUGACGCAGGAAGGUAGCUGAGCCGGGCGAUGGUAGUCCCGGUGUAAGGAUGUAGGGCGAGGAAUAGGCAAAUCCGUUCCUCACGAAGCCUGAGAUCCGACGCGUACCCCUCACGGGGGAAAUCAGUGAUCCUAUGCUGCCAAGAAAAGCAUCGACGCGAGGUUCUAGUGGCCCGUACCCCAAACCGACUCAGGUGGUCAGGUAGAGAAUACUAAGGAGAUCGAGAGAAUCGUGGUUAAGGAACUCGGCAAAAUGCCCCCGUAACUUCGGGAGAAGGGGGGCCGGAUUGGUGAAGGGAUUUACUCCUGGAGCUAUGAAGGCCGCAGAGACCAGUGGGAAGCGACUGUUUACUAAAAACACAGGUCCGUGCUAAGUCGCAAGACGAUGUAUACGGACUGACGCCUGCCCGGUGCUGGAAGGUUAAGAGGAGCGGUUAGCACUUGUGCGAAGCUGCGAAUUUAAGCCCCAGUAAACGGCGGUGGUAACUAUAACCAUCCUAAGGUAGCGAAAUUCCUUGUCGGGUAAGUUCCGACCUGCACGAAUGGCGUAACGACUUCCCAGCUGUCUCAACCGCGAACUCGGCGAAAUUGCACUACGAGUAAAGAUGCUCGUUACGCGCAGCAGGACGGAAAGACCCCGUGACCUUUACUACAGCUUUGUAUUGGUGUUCGGUGUGGCUUGUGUAGGAUAGGUGGGAGACUUUGAAGCGGACACGCCAGUGUUUGUGGAGUCAUUGUUGAAAUACCACUCUGGUCACUCUGGAUAUCUAACUUCGAACCGUAAUCCGGUUCAGGACAGUGCAUGGUGGGUAGUU